GUUUUAUGUGAGCUGUGGCAGUAACAAUGCCUUCAGUUCAGUAUCUGAGAGAGUUUAUCAACGAGCGACUAACUGCUGCUGCUGAACAAAUAUUCUUGGAGUUUGAAAAAACGAUCGUCCAGUACGAGGAAGAGAUCGACCGUCAGCGCAGACUGCUGGAUAUCACCUGGAAACCCCAAAUCAAGCUGCACAGGACAGGGAUGAAAUGAUGGACCACACUCCCUGCAUCAUGACUGUAAGCUCUCUGCACAGCAUCCAUGAUAAACACAGACAGCAAAGAAGACAGCAUCUUCCUCCACAGAUGAACACAGAGGGCUAUAACACUGUAACACUACAGAUCUGUGUCCUGGUCACGUGUGCAACUGGUGUUCGUGUGUCAGUCUCUGGGUGUGUCUGCAGUGUGCUGCUGCAUGUGUCUGACUGAGGAUCAGAUUUAACGGGACUGCAAGAUGAAGAUGCUGCUGAUGCUGCUACUCCUCUUACUCGG
Long non-coding RNA from Oreochromis aureus, 487 nucleotides. Lineage: Eukaryota; Metazoa; Chordata; Actinopteri; Cichliformes; Cichlidae. The record is from Ensembl.